This 245-nucleotide ribosomal RNA is filed under the name uncultured bacterium. Its description in RNAcentral is "partial 16S ribosomal RNA". It matches the Rfam family "Bacterial small subunit ribosomal RNA", at positions 29 to 300 of the family's 1533-position model. The record is from RNAcentral.
AACGAACGCUGGCGGCAGGCCUAACACAUGCAAGUCGAACGCCGUAGCAAUACGGAGUGGCAGACGGGUGAGUAACACGUGGGAACGUACCCUCGGUUCGGAAUAACUCAGGGAAACGUUAGAGCUAAUACCGGAUACGUCCGAGAGGAGAAAGAUUUAUCGCCGAGGGAUCGGCCCGCGUCUGAUUAGCUUGUUGGUGAGGUAACGGCUCACCAAGGCGACGAUCAGUAGCUGGUCNGAGAGGA